This 221-nucleotide long non-coding RNA is filed under the name Lathyrus oleraceus (garden pea). Its description in RNAcentral is "Pisum sativum (pea) long non-coding RNA (PSAT_LNC029790)". Lineage: Eukaryota; Viridiplantae; Streptophyta; Magnoliopsida; Fabales; Fabaceae. The record is from RNAcentral.
UAUGAUGUAAGUCCAGCGAUUGGCAUCCGGUUUCCUUGUUUGUAUUUGUUGUUUGGAGUCGGACAUAAGUCCAUUGAUUGGCAUCCCAUUUCCAUUUGCGAGUUUCUUUUGACGUCUCAGCGUCUUUGCGUGUGUUUUGUUUCGGCGUGCGUUAGCCGAACUACGGGAGCUCUGAUUCUCAUUCAAGAUGAGAUACGUAGGCAUAGGAUGCGAUAUCCUAG